UCCAGACUCCUACGGGAGGCAGCAGUGGGGAAUAUUGCACAAUGGGGGGAACCCUGAUGCAGCGACGCCGCGUGAGUGAAGAAGUAUUUCGGUAUGUAAAGCUCUAUCAGCAGGGAAGAAAAUGACGGUACCUGACUAAGAAGCCCCGGCUAACUACGUGCCAGCAGCCGCGGUAAUACGUAGGGGGCAAGCGUUAUCCGGAUUCACUGGGUGUAAAGGGAGCGUAGACGGCGACGCAAGUCUGGAGUGAAAGCCCGGGGCCCAACCCCGGGACUGCUCUGGAAACUGCGUCGCUGUAGUACGGGAGGGGCAGGCGGAAUUCCUGGUGUAGCGGUGAAAUGCGUAGAUAUCAGGAGGAACACCGGCGGCGAAGGCGGCCUGCUGGACCGUGACUGACGUUGAGGCUCGAGAGCGUGGGGAGCAAACAGGAUUAGAUACCCUGGUAUC
Molecule: ribosomal RNA, 447 nt
Filed under: uncultured bacterium
Lineage: Bacteria
Description: bacterial SSU rRNA
Rfam family: Bacterial small subunit ribosomal RNA
Source: RNAcentral